RNAcentral lists this long non-coding RNA (901 nucleotides) under Sus scrofa (pig). Its description in RNAcentral is "lncRNA (ENSSSCG00060054042.1)". The record is from RNAcentral. Lineage: Eukaryota; Metazoa; Chordata; Mammalia; Artiodactyla; Suidae.
UGGGGAACGGGGAGGAGGGGAUCGUGGUAUGUAGGUUAUCAAAAGCUCAAAGAAAUCCAGGUCCUGUCUGAAUCCCUGCUCAGAGAUGGAAGGAGGCAAUGAAAAGGCUGAAGAAAUUUUUCUCAAGGUUGUUUACCAGUUGGGACAGUGGGCAGGCACGUACUCUGUUUCUCUGUCUGCUCAGGCUGCCCUCGGGGCCAGCAGGAAAAUCACUCUCCCCUCACUUGUUUUUACCCAAAGCCUCCAAAGGAAAGAUUUGAGAGAUCUUGUUUUUUCACAGACUUGGAUAGUGUCUCCUUCUGUAAUCCAGAAAGCAGAUGUUUUUGGACGGGGCUUGGAAGCAAGAUGCUGAAGACCAGAGCCUGUGAUGGAAAAGGUGCAUUCCUGCCCAGCCGCUCAGGACACUGCCCCUUUGUGACCGACUCACCUCUCUUGGUCCUGUAUCUAUGACCUUCCAUCACUGUUUGGAGCCAUUGCAAGUGUGAGCUUGAUAAAAACAUCAAUUCCCAGCCAAGAUCCUGAGUUGUUUUGACAGUUCUCUGAUCAUUGCCAGAACUGUAAAGGAAUAUUCUGUUUUAAAUCUCCUGAAAAAAAAAAAAAAGGUACAGAUCUCAAGUUGUUGAGGUCCUGAUUGUGUAAUAAUCAGUAAAUUGUUACCUAUGGACCUCCUUUGUACAUUGCAGGAAAGAGGAGCCAGGAUGAAGGGCAGAAUGUGCAGGCAGAAGCCCAGGACUCCGUGUAACAUAUACGUUGUGUUCAACCACUGACACCCACUGCAGUGUGGAUGUUUAGUCAAAGUUGCACAUUGAGGAUAAUGACAAUAAUGAGAAUCCAUGAAGGAGAGAGUUUUGCAAGAUGGAAUGUUGGAAUGUUGGGCAAGCCCCUAAAAUAAAGUUACAGU